CACAUUACUGUGGGUCUGAAGUUACAUGAAGACCAGACCAGGGUCUGAGGACAAAUAUCCAACUGUGAAUCUGGAAGAAAAGUAACAAAUUCAAUCACAAACUGGGGAACAAUUUGAAGUCCAAGCGAAAUUCAUUGUCACAAAGAAGAUACAAAAACUGUGUCCUUGUGUCACAAGGUGAUUAAGGAACAGGCUCAGGCUACACCACAGUUACUGCUCAGCGAACACCUCAAUUCCUAAACAAGUGUAUUCUUCACAUGGUGACAGCAGCAGAGCCAAGUGUGAGAUUUGCAUCCAGGGCAGAGGUGGUGAUGUUCUCAGGGUGCCUGCUGAUACCACCUUUCCAUUCAGUGAGCUCCAGAAAACUUCACUCCUCUGGGUGAAUAAUCAUUUUCUCAAAUCCCUUCUAAAUCUUCUGUCUCUUCUCUUGAAACUACAGUCCCUGAAUAUUGCCUCUUGUACUCAGCAGAAAAUAAAAGUGUCUCAGCCUUCUCAGCUCGAAGGAAAACAAACCAAGCUUACCUAGUCUCUCUUCAAAAUGGAACCGUUCUAGUCUGGGUGUCAUCCGAGAAGAUCUCCUUUGCAAUCUUGCUAGUGUAACUACAUCCUUCUGAUAGCGUGACAGCAAGAACUACUAUGGACAGUACUCUGUGCACUAAUGUUUUACACUGUUCCAUCACCACUUCCCUGCUCUUGCAUUCAAUACCUCAACUAAUGAAGUAAAGAACUGCACAUGCUUUUUUAAUCAGCUUAUCUAUCUGAAUUGCUCCUUUCAAGGAACUGAAAAUAUGCACACCAAGAUUCCCCUGAUCAUCUUAACUUUUUAGAGUCCACUUAAUCAUUGUACACUCCCUUGCCUGUUAAUCAUCCCAAAUUGUGUCACCUCACAUUUUUCUGGAUUAAAUUCCAUUUGCUAUUUAUCUACCCACUGACCAGCUCAUCUAAAUCAUCCUGUCGACUGAGGCUUUCCUCCUUGUU
Molecule: non-coding RNA, 978 nt
Organism: Chiloscyllium plagiosum (whitespotted bambooshark)
Lineage: Eukaryota; Metazoa; Chordata; Chondrichthyes; Orectolobiformes; Hemiscylliidae
Source: RefSeq, a predicted model, not a curated record